Ctenopharyngodon idella (grass carp) is the source of this 1964-nucleotide long non-coding RNA. RefSeq lists it as uncharacterized. The record is from RefSeq and is a predicted model, not a curated record. The transcript has 3 exons. Lineage: Eukaryota; Metazoa; Chordata; Actinopteri; Cypriniformes; Xenocyprididae.
AACCCCGUCAAUAACAUUGAAAUAAGAUUGUUUUAAAUAUAAUCAGACUAUAUAAAUAUCUGUUGUGUAAUUAUUUGUAAUGCAGGACUGAAUGAAUUUUGUGCAAAUUAACACCAAGAUCGAACCAUUUUUAUUCCCUUGUUCCAGUUGGGUAAGAGCACCAAGGAAACGUGCAACAUGCAGAAUGUACAGUUACAGACUAUGAAAACGACUCCCUCUGUAGGCUACUUACAUGUGUUUAAUAGACUGCUUCUAGAAGAAAUAGUUAUUUUCUUUUAAAACCUUCCCAAGCCAAGUGGUUUACCUGUAGACAUUUAACAUAUAACAUGAACACUGCGAUUGAGUGAUAUUUUAUGUUUUUUUUUUAUUUGCCUAUUGUAAUUUAUUAAAAACAUUAUUUUAGCUGAAACUAAAUGACUUUAACAAGUAUGUUAUGUCAUUAUUUUGUGAAAGCAAUUUCAAUUCAUUAAAAUUGAGUUAGAUGUGUGUUUGCAAUCAAGACCAAUCUCACCAAUGAUUGAUGAUGAAUUUUUAUUUUCAUUUUUAUAAAUAAAAUGAAACUGUUUAUGUUAUGUGUAUGCGUUAUGUAUAGUGACAUUAAAAACUAAAAUGUUCAAGAUUACAUUCUAAACAUGCUGUAAUAAAAAUGCUUUUGGCAGCAAUGGUAGCAAAAAUGAACGCCUUAUUGUCUAUAUAUAGUAUGUAUAUAGUGCAACUGUAUUUUUGUUUGUAUUUUAACUAUACAUCAUUUCAUCUCCUGCCAUACAGUGCAGGAAUUACAAUAAAGCCACUGCAGCCGUUUAACCUUUAUGACAUCAUAAAAGGAAUUCUCAGGAAUGUCUCUUUAAAACAUACUAACAGCAGAUGAGAGUAUUUUACUGAUGAGAGACUUAUAAUCAAUCGCAAGUGAACACAAGUGAGUUAAGAGAGCAAUAUUUGCAUGAUUAUAUACUUUUUAAUGAAUUCCUAUGAUUGUUCCCAGUCCGGGCCAGAGGAUGAGCAGCCUUCUAACAUUCCAUCACCUCAAAUAGGCCUGCAUAAUGGACCUGCCAUGACCAAAAAUGACCUCAUGCUACCUCCAUGCCCACCUCCACCUCCUCCCUCACCGGAUUACGGAGAUGAGGUGGAAUCUACCAGCCACAAUAAGGCCCUUCCAAGAUCUGAUGCGAUUGAGACUCAUUGUGGUGUUAUCACACCUGAAAAUUUGAUCUGGGAUCCUCCAAAUCUGCAGGAGCUUGGUCCAAUAAAAUUUGUAGGUGUUUACAACCUUCCACCAGCCUUCUGGCCAGCCAGCUUAAUGGAUAGGUUGAAGAAUCUUGGCAUUAAUGUGGAUGGGACAAACAAAGCUGAUGACAGCAGCACCAUACCAAAUCUAUCCUCCUCUGUGCCACAUAAUAUGAUUGAGGAGCUUCAUGACAAUUUGGAUUUCGCAACACCUGAGGAUUUCUUUAAAAUACUAGACCUCUCUUUUGACACACACGAUGGACAGACUGAGAUUGCUGCCAUCACAGGGCAGGAAGAGGACAAGCAUCAGCUGCCCCUCAGUCCUGGUGUCAUGGAAGCUGCAGCCACUGAUUCUGAGGAAAUUCUGCCUUAUUUCACAGGCUCACGAAAGAGAAAGAGGGCUAUUUACUCUGACAAUGAGUUCUCUCCUGCUACUGCUGAGAGUUUUGAGAUGCUUGAUGAUUUUGAGCUCUUUUGAGCCUCCACAUGCAAAGCCUCGACUGGACUCCAGUGAAGACCUUCUCACUACUCUUUGUCAUGCUAUCUACUUUAUACGAUUAAAGCAAUGUCUGUGGCAAUCAUCUGGGGAUUUUGACAUUCAAAAAUGUCAUAUCUGCUACUUAGUAUAUAAAAUGAGCUCAGAGAGUUGCAUAUCACAUUUCGGUAACACUUUACAAUAAGGUCUUAUUUGUUAAAAUUAUUUAAUGCAUUAUGAACUGCAUGAGCAAUAUAAUUUUACA